UAUAUAUAUAUAUAUUGAUUGUCAAGUCUCACCUUGCAAUGUAUAUAUUCUUUUGUGUCACCCUACAACUACAGACAGAUUGGCCCGAAUUCACAAAAUACCUAGCUCCUAGUUUUUGGUGGUUUAAACCCAGAGCUGGGUUUUUCAUUUGCGUUUCACAAAGGAUUUUUAAGCCCCAAGGGGGUUUAAAUGCGUCAUGAAACGUCAUAUAUUUUACUCAGCUCUGAGAUGUGGUUUAAAUUAUGGUUUAACCUUUUGAGCAUGCGCACUUGAGAAGAAUGUGAAAAAUCUGCGAAGCGAACAGAAUUUUCCUUUCGGUCUUAGAUGUGACAAAUGAUAUUCUUGAUCAGAAAUUCGUAAGUAUUCUUCUUUGAAUUCGUAAAAUAAAUUCCCGCUGUACUUCUCUGGAAUAUAUUGAUCCGUUUUAUGCAGUUAUAUGAAAUUGAUAGUGUUGUUUUUCAUAAUUGCGAUUGAGGUUUUGGUAUUGACAAGUCCAGACAAAGCACUGUAUCGUCGCGUAUGUAUUGUCACAGUCCCAUCUGUGCAUUUAAGUGUUGGGAUAUUUUGACGCUGUGCAAUGGUUGUUGAACGAAUUGAACUGAAGGUUCUCAGCCGCGCGCUGCUCUUAAUUGUUUUAUGAGCUUCACACAACGAUAUUGAUAUUAUGAUGCCAUCUAUAUCUUCAUUUGUAAAUGUCAAGAUGAAAAUAUAAUAUCUAGUUCUAUAUAAUUUUGUACUUUUUGGUGCAUAUUAAGAGGAGAAAGAAAUGCUUUUUUUUCAAUUUGCCUGGCUAAACUAAAGCCUAAAUUGCAUUUUAAAGUAUACAUUUGUAGAUCUAGACCUACCUUUUUGCUUUCGGCACAGGCCAAUUUUUGAGGCUGUAGGAAUAUUAAAGAGUUGAUUAGUUAGUUUGGUCUAAAAUAUUUUCACUUGAAAAUAGAGCCCCCCCCAAAAAAAAAAAACAGACAAAAAACAUUGCAUUAGGGGCCUAAUUUUGUAAGGCAUAUUGGCAGUUUCACACAAAUUAUUACAAUUUUUUUUUAUUCAUCAUUCACCAUGUUCACUAUGAGAUCUGUAAAAAGCGAUUACCAAUGAAUAUUUUAUUUUUAUAUGAAAAAUUAAUGUUUGUUUAAAAAUUUGACCAUUGUUUCAAAGAAUUACAUCGACAUCAGAGGUACCGUAGAUCUCCAUGAAUUAUCUCCAUCAUCUUCACAACCUUGAAUUACUAAGAGCUACCUUUUCCAAAACGUGGGCUACGUGAUGCUAAAAAUCCAUCGGAAUCGUACGAGAAUGGGCCAUCUCGAGAUCAGUAUCGACUGUCAUGUAUGUCAUCAAUAUGCUGGAAACCGAAAUGAAGAGGUACACACAGAGGAAUGAUCAACUUCCUGUUUAUUUGCAUUUGUUGAAAACUCUCCGUUUAUAUGCAGUGGGAUCAUUUCAAAAGAUGCAUGGUGAUGAGGCAGCAAUAUCAGUCAUCAAUGUGUCGAAUCAUCAAAGAUGUGUCGGAAGCUCUAGCAAGAAGGAAGAGGCAAAACCUGAAGUUUCCUUUGACAAGAGAAGAAGUUGAAGCAACUCAGCGACAGUUCUAGCAGUACUGUAGAUUUCCAGGAGUGAUAGCUAGUGCAGUUGAUGGACACAUGUCUACAUCAAGAGCCCGGGGGGGGGGGGGGGGUGAGGCCAUAUACUUCCGAUAUAUCCCCUUCCUUUUUUAUGUGGAGAGGAAUGACUAUAACAAUGGCAAAAGUAUUGAUAACAUAGAAACGCAGAGUUCAUUCAAAUUUAUGAAGAAUACUUUACUUCUUUAUUUGUUAAUAAAUUGAUUGGUAUAACCCUGUGUUUCCAGCAGCUUAGCUUCAGCAACCUCUCUUUUUAUUUUAAACAUCCAUUUGUAGUUCACGCUCCUUUAAUCUCGUGCUCUUUCAAUCUCAUUUCGUGCUCUUUAAAUCUCAUAUCGUGUUCUUUCACUCUCAUUUCGUUCUCUUUAAUCAUGUUUCGUCCAUUGAACUUCAAUUCUUACGGCUUGCUUUGCCUCUACCAGCUCCAUGGGGGGGCCACUUU
Long non-coding RNA from Lytechinus variegatus (green sea urchin), 2058 nucleotides. RefSeq lists it as uncharacterized. The transcript has 3 exons. NCBI's taxonomy places the organism in Eukaryota, Metazoa, Echinodermata, Echinoidea, Temnopleuroida, Toxopneustidae. The record is from RefSeq and is a predicted model, not a curated record.